CAGUACUGCUAUGGUGCCUAUCUCCAACUUCACUACUGUACCUCUACCUGUACUCCACUCAUCAUACUCCUACUUUAACAGGAGAUUCUCAGAGUGGCCCAAAAAUCUGUAGCCUAGAUUUUCUACAGGUACUGCGAGGACAACCAGAAUCCAAGCCGUUUGAUACGAUGAUGAAUGGAAUGAAGUGAUGGAUGGAAUGGAACCCUGCUCUUGCGUCUUCCUCCCCACCCCCCACAGACACAAGGCCCAUUGUUGCACAGUCACACCAUUGUGUGCUUGCUGCAUGCUCCAGGAGGCUUGCAGAACCCCGAGCUUGUGCUGCUCAAGGGAUACCAUUACCAUCUCCCAAAAUAUGCACAGCACACUGCACCGCACCCAAUUGUAAGACCAGCAGAAACUGACACGGGCACACGGCCCCGUUUGUUUGGUGCCUGCAUUUCCUCACCGCUAGCUCUACCUCCCCAACGGUUUUUCUCACAUGUCGAAAAAAACCGUACAGAAACAAAUCCUGCUCACCCUGUAAUUCCUGUCUCUGCAUUCUGCAUUGAAUUGCCUGACCAGAAUAAUUCUAGAAAAUGAAGGCAUGGGCCUUGUUUAGUUCCGAAGAGUGAAAAGGUUUCGGUACUGUAGCACUUUCGUUUGUUUGUGACAAAUAUUAUCCAAUCAUGGACUAACUAUAAUCAAAAGAUUCGUCUCGUGAUUUACAGCUAAACUGUGUAAUUAGUUUUUAUUUUCGUCUAUAUUUAAUGUUUCAUGCAUGUGCCACAAGAUUCGAUGUGACGGGAAAUCUUGAAAACUUUUUUGUUUUCAGAGUGAACUAAACAAGGCCAUGGUAAAAAAAAAAAAAAAAGACACCCUUGGCAGUUUCUUCUGCUCCUGUGUCCUGUGUCCACAUGAACACACACCGGUCUGCGUGGAGGAGAACGCAUUGCGAGGGGAGCAGCCAGCCAACUGCUUCAGCAGACGCCCCUUCCCCAAUCCCGGAACAGGCCGGAGACGUGCAGGUGCAGGGAAACCGGCGCAGGCAGCAAAGCCAAAAGUGCAGCACCAAUGCAUGCUUGCUGCAAGAGCUUCCGGUGCUGUUCCUCCAUGUUUCCUGUGCUGUUCCUCCAUUGCAUUGGGUCUUGGACUCCUGGGAACGCAUGCCAUAGCUCCGCCUCUGCUCGC
This 1167-nucleotide long non-coding RNA is filed under the name Sorghum bicolor (sorghum). RNAcentral describes it as "long non-coding RNA (SBIC_LNC003982)". The record is from RNAcentral. Lineage: Eukaryota; Viridiplantae; Streptophyta; Magnoliopsida; Poales; Poaceae.